UCGUGAUCGUACCAUCGUAAAGGAGGCUCAUACAACAAGAAGCUUUGGAAAUCAGAACUGAAUUGGAAGUAGCAACAGCUAUGUACACAUAUCAUCAGAAGCAGGCAAAUAUCAAUUGUUAAUUACAGUAAAUAACUUGAGUAGUGAAGUCUACAUUUUUAGCUGAAGUUUUAAUUAAUUAAGUGAAAAUUUCCCAUAGUGGUGUUAGCAUCAUAAAUCAUAUCAAUAUAAUAAAAUAUAGAACGAAUCUAUAUCAUCAUCCACUUGAAAAGAAGACUGAAAGAAGACCAGCAAGUUACCCUAAAAAGAGAACACAGGAGUCAUUCGGAAGAAAAAUCAGAAAGUAUUUACACACUUGUUUUAAUAGAUUAUGAUUAAAUUAUUUAUUAUACUCUCGCAACAAUGUUGCUAAGGAGAGUAUUAUAGUUUUGUUCACAUAACGGUUGU
Molecule: long non-coding RNA, 447 nt
Organism: Bactrocera tryoni
Lineage: Eukaryota; Metazoa; Arthropoda; Insecta; Diptera; Tephritidae
Exons: 3
Source: RefSeq, a predicted model, not a curated record